Molecule: ribosomal RNA, 250 nt
Filed under: uncultured bacterium
Lineage: Bacteria
Description: partial 16S ribosomal RNA
Rfam family: Bacterial small subunit ribosomal RNA
Source: RNAcentral
UACGGAGGAUGCGAGCGUUAUCCGGAUUUAUUGGGUUUAAAGGGUGCGUAGGCGGCUUGUUAAGUCAGCGGUAAAAUUUCCGGGCUCAACCCGGUCGUGCCGUUGAAACUGUGGGACUUGAGUGAAGUAGAGGUAGGUGGAAUUCCCGGUGUAGCGGUGAAAUGCGUAGAGAUCGGGAGGAACACCAGUGGCGAAGGCGACUCUCUGGACCGUAACUGACGCUGAGGCACGAAAGCGUGGGGAGCAAACA